RNAcentral lists this ribosomal RNA (502 nucleotides) under uncultured bacterium. RNAcentral describes it as "partial 16S ribosomal RNA". It matches the Rfam family "Bacterial small subunit ribosomal RNA", at positions 28 to 507 of the family's 1533-position model. The record is from RNAcentral.
GACGAACGCUGGCGGCGUGCUUAACACAUGCAAGUCGAACGGUGAAGGGGUCUGCUUUUGUGGGCCCUGGAUGAGUGGCGAACGGGUGAGUAACACGUGAGUAACCUGCCCCCUUCUUCUGGAUAACCGCAUGAAAGUGUGGCUAAUACGGGAUAUUCUGGGUCUGUCGCAUGAUGGGUCUGGGAAAGAUUGCGCCUUUGGGUGUUUUUGGUGGGGGAUGGGCUCGCGGCCUAUCAGCUUGUUGGUGGGGUGAUGGCCUACCAAGGCGGUGACGGGUAGCCGGCCUGAGAGGGUGGACGGUCACACUAGGACUGAGACACGGCCCAGACUCCUACGGGAGGCAGCAGUGGGGAAUAUUGCACAAUGGGCGCAAGCCUGAUGCAGCGACGCCGCGUGAGGGAUGGAGGCCUUCGGGUUGUAAACCUCUUUCGCCAGUGAAGCAGGCCUGCUCCUUGUGGGUGGGUUGACGGUAGCUGGAGAAGAAGCGCCGGCUAACUACGUG